CGGGGCGUAGCGCAGCUUGGUUAGCGCACUUGACUGGGGGUCAAGGGGUCGGAGGUUCAAAUCCUCUCGCCCCGA
RNAcentral lists this transfer RNA (75 nucleotides) under bacterium. Its description in RNAcentral is "tRNA-Pro". It matches the Rfam family "tRNA". Rfam says of the family: Transfer RNA (tRNA) molecules are approximately 80 nucleotides in length. Their secondary structure includes four short double-helical elements and three loops (D, anti-codon, and T loops). Further hydrogen bonds mediate the characteristic L-shaped molecular structure. tRNAs have two regions of fundamental functional importance: the anti-codon, which is responsible for specific mRNA codon recognition, and the 3' end, to which the tRNAs corresponding amino acid is attached (by aminoacyl-tRNA synthetases). tRNAs cope with the degeneracy of the genetic code in two manners: having more than one tRNA (with a specific anti-codon) for a particular amino acid; and 'wobble' base-pairing, i.e. permitting non-standard base-pairing at the 3rd anti-codon position. The record is from RNAcentral. RNAcentral also lists the same sequence under 4 other names.